This 231-nucleotide ribosomal RNA is filed under the name uncultured bacterium. RNAcentral's name for it is "partial 16S ribosomal RNA". It matches the Rfam family "Bacterial small subunit ribosomal RNA", at positions 15 to 237 of the family's 1533-position model. The record is from RNAcentral.
GAUCCUGGCUCAGGAUGAACGCUAGCUACAGGUUUAACACAUGCAAGUCGAGGGGCAGCAUGGUCUUAGCUUGCUAAGGCCGAUGGCGAUCGGCGCACGGGUGAGUAACGCGUAUCCAACCUGCCUUACACUCUUGGACAGCCUUCUGAAAGGGAGAUUAAUACAAGAUGUUAUCAUGAGUAAGCAUUUUCACAUGAUUAAAGGUUUACCGGUGUAAGAUGGGGAUGCGUU